CAUCAAUCCGUCACUUCAUGCUAACCUUGAGUUCAGAGUUUCACACCAAAAUCCCAAUUUCGAUUCCCCUUCUCCUCUCUAGGGUUUUCGCCGACUCCGACGCCUCCUUCUCACUCCAUCGCCGCCGUCCAUCUGCCGAACACUCUCGCCGGAAUCUUGCCAAGGUACAUCCCUCUCUCAAUCCCCGCCUCCGUCUCUAAAGUUGGUUCCGCCAUGAAUGACCAUAGAAUUGCUGCAAUUGAAUUGAAAUCUGAGGAAGGACUGGAUUAUUUCCCUCAAGAAAUCAUCUCCAAUAUCCUAAUUAGAUUACCUAUUAAGUCUUUGAUCAAAUGCACCUCCGUCUGCAAGUCUUGGAAAUCUUUGAUCCAAAACCCUAGCUUUAUUGAUGCACAUCUUAGCCAGUGUCAGUUGUAAUAACCAGAAUGGCACUCACCUCCUGCUAGUCCACAGUGUUUGUAGUAAAAGAUUUUGCAGCUUAUUCGACAGAGAUUUCGUUAGAGGUGAAAAGGAAGACGUUUACUCUUUGUACUAUGAUAACCAUGGUUUUGAUGAGUACUGCAAGAUUGAAUUGCUUAGUGAUCUUGAGGAAAUUAUGCUCAAUUAUGCUCAAUUUUCCUAGUGAUUGAAUUGCAAGAUUGUAAUGGACUAGUAUGCCUUGUGGAUGAAUUAGGGUGUCAUGGUUACAACUUGAUCAUAUGGAAUCCUUGUAUAAGAAAAUUUGUAGACCUUCCUGAACCUGCUGUGCUGCGAGGUGGUUGUGAUGCCUCUAUUGGCUUUGGUUAUGAUGCCAUAAGCAAUGACUAUAAGGUUGUGAGACUUGUCUCGCUUUCGGAUCAAUAUCAGAAUUUCCAUGGGUGGCCAACUCUAUUUCAGGUUUAUUCACUGGCCACAGGCUCGUGGAGCAGGCUUUGUUCUGAUCUUCCUCAGUGUCAAAUGUUUUGCUCCCCAGCCCAGGCUUUUGUAAAUGGGGCACUUCACUGGUCUGCAAUCCACCGGACAAAUGAUACUUUCAACUAUUUUGUUCUGGCUUUUUAUGUGGGCAGUGAGUGGUUUCGAGAGAUAAUGUUUCCAAAGAGUCUGAAAUGGGAUCCGACGUUGGCAUUGAGAAUAUCUGUUUCUGGAGAUGGGAAAUCCAUUGCUGUCUUCACUGAUUGGCGCAAGAGUCAUACCGAUUAUUUUCUUGAUAUAUGGGUACUGAAAGAGUACUGCAUGGAGAAUUCGUGGACCAAAUUGAUGAUUCUCAGUGCAGAAGUUCCACAACGAAAUUUACCCAAGGCAAUGUGUUUCAGGAAGAUAGGUGAAGUGUUGGUACUUGAAGAUAGCUAUGAACUAGUUUCACUUGACAUUAUGAGCAGAAAAGUUAAAAUUCUUGGGGUUUAUGGAGUUUAGCAGUUGGUUCUGUACUUAGCUUCUGGUUGUUUUGUUGCCAAGUUAAUGUUGGUCAGGUAUGCUCUGUUGACUCUUAUUAAGAGAGCAUUGUCUUGCAGAACAAAAAACAUGCAGCUUGUUACUGAGGGAAAGAAUAGGGAGAUAUGAGGGAGUAAAUGACUGUAGUAGUAUACUUAAUGCGAUAAUUCAAGCAGAUAUCAAUCACAUGCUGCUCAAGUUAAACUGUUAAAGUUACUCAGCUGCAUCCAAAUUUGGAACUUUUUGGAGUCUGGAGAAUUGGCUGGAAUCUUGUCUUUGCUACUCAAGAAUCUUUCAUUAUUAUGUCUUUGCUUUUCCAUAUUCAGUUGACAAGAAAAAGUAAAUUUGCGAAACACGAUUCAGCUUUCUUAAUGACCAAUGGCAAUAAAAUGAAAUUGAUACUACCACAAUGUAUUCUAUUUUCUAUUGCAUAUGAGGGACAAUGGUAAUGAUACUGAGAA
Molecule: long non-coding RNA, 1868 nt
Organism: Rosa chinensis
Lineage: Eukaryota; Viridiplantae; Streptophyta; Magnoliopsida; Rosales; Rosaceae
Exons: 4
Source: RefSeq, a predicted model, not a curated record